UCGCGGCCUAUCAGCUUGUUGGUGGGGUAACGGCCUACCAAGGCAUCGACGGGUAGCUGGUCUGAGAGGAUGAUCAGCCACACUGGGACUGAGACACGGCCCAGACUCCUACGGGAGGCAGCAGUGGGGAAUCUUACGCAAUGGGCGAAAGCCUGACGCAGCAACGCCGCGUGCGGGAAGAAGGCCUUCGGGUUGUAAACCGCUUUCAGAAGGAACGAAACUGACGGUACUUUCAGAAGAAGGUGCGGCCAACUACGUGCCAGCAGCCGCGGUGACACGUAGGCACCAAGCGUUGUCCGGAUUUAUUGGGCGUAAAGAGCUCGUAGGCGGUUCGGUAAGUCGGGUGUGAAAACUUUGGGCUCAACCCAAAGCGUGCAUUCGAUACUGCCGUGACUAGAGUUCGGUAGGGGAGUGGGGAAUUCCUAGUGUAGCGGUGAAAUGCGCAGAUAUUAGGAGGAACACCGGUGGCGAAGGCGCCACUCUGGGCCGAAACUGACGCUGAGGAGCGAAAGCGUGGGUAGCAAACAGGAUUAGAUACCCUGGUAGUCCACGCCGUAAACGUUGGGCACUAGGUGUGGGUCUCAACCAACGAGAUCCGCGCCGUCGCAAACGCAUUAAGUGCCCCGCCUGGGGAGUACGG
RNAcentral lists this ribosomal RNA (640 nucleotides) under uncultured Actinomycetes bacterium. RNAcentral describes it as "bacterial SSU rRNA". It matches the Rfam family "Bacterial small subunit ribosomal RNA", at positions 231 to 885 of the family's 1533-position model. Lineage: Bacteria; Bacillati; Actinomycetota; Actinomycetes. The record is from RNAcentral.